UCCUUUUGUGGAGUUUGAGAGUGUGGGUGAGAACACUGUGUUUCAAAGGAGGGACACCUCAGUGGACCUGCUGAACUCAUUUCUUAGCUGACACAAAAUCUGGGGAGAAAUACCAGAAGGCAGUGUUAGCCAACCUCCAUGUUUAAGAAUGAAGAAGAUGCUUGAAGAACAAAAAAUGUACUUGGUUAUUCCUCCAUUAUAACUGGAGCAAGGGUCUGUUACCAUCUCCAUGACUGAUUUUAGUUGCUGAUCUGGUCUUCAGACUUAGUAGUCUUCUCUCUUUAAGUAAAUUGAACUGAGCUUUUAAUUAUAUAAAGGCACAACAAAGAAAGAGGAAAAAGGAAAAAAGAUUAUUCUCCAGAAACCUCUGAAGAUUUUGUUCUCCAUAUUUAACAUCUAAAAUUUUUUGUUAUUAUAAUUUUUUUUGAUAACAGAGUAGCCGUGUCAUUAAAAUGACAUUGCAUUAGGUAGAUGCAUACAACUACAGACUAGAAAUAUUCUUAAAUUGAAGAAUAUAAUUUGAAAAUUAUAGUCUAAAUUAAACAAAGCAUGAUUAGUCAUUCACUUGCCUGCCGACCUCUUAAUGACUGUGCUGAUAAUUAUCAGUGCAGAGUCACUCCCUUCUUUGUAGCCUCAGAGCUUGACAAGAAAAUGUGGAUGUUUUCAAUUGAUACACA
This is a non-coding RNA of Lonchura striata (white-rumped munia), 677 nucleotides long. Lineage: Eukaryota; Metazoa; Chordata; Aves; Passeriformes; Estrildidae. The record is from RefSeq and is a predicted model, not a curated record.